UUCUGCGGAAUCCCUUCGGGGAGGAAGUAGUUAUGACUGAGUGGCGGACGGGUGAGUAACGCGUGGGCAACCUGCCCCAUACCGGGGGACAACAGCUGGAAACGGCUGCUAAUACCGCAUACGUUUCGGAAACCGCAUGGUUUCUGGAAGAAAACUCCGGUGGUAUGGGAUGGGCCCGCGUCUGAUUAGCUGGUUGGCGGGGUAACGGCCCACCAAGGCGACGAUCAGUAGCCGGCCUGAGAGGGUGGCCGGCCACAUUGGGACUGAGACACGGCCCAGACUCCUGCGGGAGGCAGCAGUGGGGAAUAUUGCACAAUGGGGGAAACCCUGAUGCAGCGACGCCGCGUGAGCGAGGAAGUACCUCGGUAUGUAAAGCUCUAUCAGCAGGGAAGAAAGUGACAGUACCUGACUAAGAAGCCCCGGCUAACUACGUGCCAGCAGCCGCGGUAAUACGUAGGGGGCAAGCGUUAUCCGGAUUCACUGGGCGUAAAGGGAGCGCAGGCGGCACGGCAAGUCUGAUGUGAAAACCCAGGGCUCAACCCUGGGACUGCAUUGGAAACUGCCGGGCUGGAGUGUCGGAGGGGUAAGCGGAAUUCCUAGUGUAGCGGUGAAAUGCGUAGAUAUUAGGAGGAACACCAGUGGCGAAGGCGGCUUACUGGACGACUACUGACGCUGAGGCUCGAAAGCGUGGGGAGCAAACAGGAUUUAGAUACCCUGGUAGUCCACGCCGUAAACGAUGAAUACCAGGUGUCGGCGGGCACGGCCCGCC
This 769-nucleotide ribosomal RNA is filed under the name uncultured bacterium. RNAcentral's name for it is "bacterial SSU rRNA". It matches the Rfam family "Bacterial small subunit ribosomal RNA", at positions 62 to 841 of the family's 1533-position model. The record is from RNAcentral.